AUGUGUUUUGGUGAGUUUGUUUGUGUCAAAGUCAGAGAGCCGUGUCUCUCUACAGUGAGAGGUUUUUGUCAAUUCAAUGACUUUGUAUCACUGUGGUGGACUUUUGGUGGAGGAACCAGACUGAAUGUUAACUCCGGUGAUGUCCGUCCCACCCUGACGGUGCUGCCCCCCUCCAGUGAGGAGCUGCUGCAGGGGAAGGCCACGCUCAUGUGCCUGGCCAACAAGGGCUUCCCCUCAGACUGGAGUCUGGCCUGGAAGGUGGACGGCAGCAGCAGCAGCAGCUGGGAGGAGAGCAGGAGCCCCGGGGUGCUGGGGAAGGACGGCAAAUACAGCUGGAGCAGCACCCUGAGGCUCCCUAAAGACCAGUGGGAGAAGGUGGGCUCUGUGACCUGUGAGGCCACCCAGGGCUCCCAGACUCCACUCUCAGAGACACUGAGGAGAGACCAGUGUUCCCAGUCCUGACCUGACUCACUGGGACUCUGCUACUGGUUUCACUCUGAUACUGAUCUCAGUCUGCUCUCUGCUACUCUCUCUCUCUCUCUCUCUCUCUCUCUCUCUCUCUCUCUCUCUCUCUCUCUCUCUCUCUCUCUCUCUCUCUACAGUUUCAUCACAAUUUGAAAGUCCAUCUUGUGUUGCUUGCAGUAAUGCUGAUAUUCUCUGUAUGUUAAAACAAUAAAGACAAAUGUAUCAACUUAA
Molecule: non-coding RNA, 696 nt
Organism: Perca flavescens (yellow perch)
Lineage: Eukaryota; Metazoa; Chordata; Actinopteri; Perciformes; Percidae
Source: the annotation of a RefSeq genome assembly